AUUGAACGCUGGCGGCGUGCUUAACACAUGCAAGUCGAGCGGUAACGCGGGGGCAACCCUGGCGACGAGCGGCGAACGGGUGCGUAAUGCAUGGGAAUCUGCCUGAUAGUGGGGAAUAACCCGGGGAAACUCGGGCUAAUGCCGCAUACGACCUACGGGUGAAAGCGGGGGACCGUAAGGCCUCGCGCUAUCGGAUGAGCCCAUGUCGGAUUAGCUAGUUGGUAGGGUAACGGCCUACCAAGGCUACGAUCCGUAGCUGGUCUGAGAGGACGGCCAGCCACACUGGGACUGAGACACGGCCCAGACUCCUACGGAGGCAGCAGUGGGGAAUAUUGGACAAUGGGGGGAAACCCUGAUCCAGCGACGCCGCGUGUGUGAAGAAGGCCUGCGGGUU
RNAcentral lists this ribosomal RNA (394 nucleotides) under uncultured bacterium. RNAcentral describes it as "bacterial SSU rRNA". It matches the Rfam family "Bacterial small subunit ribosomal RNA", at positions 28 to 424 of the family's 1533-position model. The record is from RNAcentral.